AAUAGAUACCCGGGUAGUCCACGCCGUAAACGUUGGGCACUAGGUGUGGGGUCUAUUCAACGGACUCCGUGCCGUCGCUAACGCAUUAAGUGCCCCGCCUGGGGAGUACGGCCGCAAGGCUAAAACUCAAAGGAAUUGACGGGGGCCCGCACAAGCAGCGGAGCAUGUUGCUUAAUUCGAGGUCAACGCGAAGAACCUUACCUGGGUUUGACAUGUAGGGAAAAGCCAUAGAGAUAUGGUGCCCUUAGGGGUCCUACACAGGUGGUGCAUGGUUGUCGUCAGCUCGUGUCGUGAGAUGUUGGGUUAAGUCCCGCAACGAGCGCAACCCUUGUCCUAUGUUGCCAGCACGUCAUGGUGGGGACUCGUAGGAGACUGCCGGGGUUCAACUCGGAGGAAGGUGGGGACGACGUCAAAUCGAUCAUGCCCCUUAUAUCCAGGGCUGCAAACAUGCUACAAUGGCCGGUACAAAGGGCUGCUAAACCGUGAGGUGGAGCGAAUCCCAUAAAGCCGGUCUCAGUUCGGAUUGGAGUCUGCAACUCGACUCC
Molecule: ribosomal RNA, 545 nt
Filed under: uncultured bacterium
Lineage: Bacteria
Description: bacterial SSU rRNA
Rfam family: Bacterial small subunit ribosomal RNA
Source: RNAcentral